This is a long non-coding RNA of Marmota flaviventris (yellow-bellied marmot), 483 nucleotides long. RefSeq lists it as uncharacterized. Lineage: Eukaryota; Metazoa; Chordata; Mammalia; Rodentia; Sciuridae. The record is from RefSeq and is a predicted model, not a curated record.
UCUUGACCCUGGUGAGAAAUGCAACUUCUCCCUAUGACCCACUCUUCAACCGGCUGUCAGCUCCACCCCAGGAGAAACCUGCCAUGGUCCCUUACCUGAUCACCGUGGUCUGACUCUUUGUAUAUUCAGGACUUCAGGAGAAAAAGAUAUAAAAAGCCAGAAGCAAACAUGAGAAUCAGAAAAAGAUAUGAAGAUGAUAUGCUGCUGAUAUGAAUGACAGAGGAAGAAACUAUGAGCCAAAGAAUGUAGGCAGUCUCUUUAAGCUUAAAAGGGAAAACAAAGAGCUAUAAAUGAAAAAAGACAUUUAUCCAAAAAGAUUAAUAAAAAUUGACAAAAUUAGUAAGAUGGGCAAAGAAAAGGAGAAUAAUGGAGUCACUAAAACCAUCUUGUGGCCAAUAUGCUGAGGUCAGAGGGGAAAAAUAAAACAAAUCUAACCCCUUGAAAAUAUCAUGGAGUCUCUGAAAAAAGCAACUCUAAAAUCAC